UUGCUUUGGCGGCUUCGGCCGCCAAAGGACCUUCAAACUCCAGUCAGUAAACGCAGACGUCUGAUAAACAAGUUAAUAAACUAAAACUUUCAACAACGGAUCUCUUGGUUCUGGCAUCGAUGAAGAACGCAGCGAAAUGCGAUAAGUAAUGUGAAUUGCAGAAUUCAGUGAAUCAUCGAAUCUUUGAACGCACAUUGCGCCCCUUGGUAUUCCGGGGGGCAUGCCUGUUCGAGCGUCAUUACAACCCUCAAGCUCUGCUUGGAAUUGGGCACCGUCCUCACUGCGGACGCGCCUCAAAGACCUCGGCGGUGGCUGUUCAGCCCUCAAGCGUAGUAGAAUACACCUCGCUUUGGAGCGGUUGGCGUCGCCCGCCGGACGAACCUUCUGAACUUUUCUCAAGGUUGACCUCGGAUCAGGUAGGGAUACCCGCUGAACUUAAGCAUAUCAAUAAGCGGAGGAAAAGAAACCAACAGGGAUUGCCUUAGUAACGGCGAGUGAAGCGGCAACAGCUCAAAUUUGAAAGCUGGCCCUUUUAGGGUCCGCAUUGUAAUUUGUAGAGGAUGAUUCGGCGAGGGCUCCUGCCUAAGUCCCCUGGAACGGGGCGUCAUAGAGGGUGAGAAUCCCGUAUGCGGUAGGUUGCCUUAGCCAUGUGAAUCUCCUUCGACGAGUCGAGUUGUUUGGGAAUGCAGCUCUAAAUGGGAGGUAAAUUUCUUCUAAAGCUAAAUACCGGCCAGAGACCGAUAGCGCACAAGUAGAGUGAUCGAAAGAUGAAAAGCACUUUGGAAAGAGAGUUAAAAAGUACGUGAAAUUGUUGAAAGGGAAGCGCUUGCAACCAGACUUGUCCGCAGUUGCUCAGCCGGUCUCCUGACCGGCGUACUCUUCUGCGGCCAGGCCAGCAUCAGUUCGGGCGGUCGGAUAAAGGCCUCGGGAA
Molecule: ribosomal RNA, 931 nt
Filed under: fungal sp.
Lineage: Eukaryota; Fungi
Description: eukaryotic LSU rRNA
Rfam family: Eukaryotic large subunit ribosomal RNA (bases 403-931)
Source: RNAcentral